This 427-nucleotide ribosomal RNA is filed under the name uncultured bacterium. Its description in RNAcentral is "partial 16S ribosomal RNA". It matches the Rfam family "Bacterial small subunit ribosomal RNA", at positions 355 to 774 of the family's 1533-position model. The record is from RNAcentral.
UGGGGAAUCUUCGGCAAUGGGGGGAACCCUGACCGAGCAACGCCGCGUGAGUGAAGAAGGUUUUCGGAUCGUAAAGCUCUGUUGUAAGAGAAGAACGGGUGUGAGAGUGGAAAGUUCACACUGUGACGGUAUCUUACCAGAAAGGGACGGCUAACUACGUGCCAGCAGCCGCGGUAAUACGUAGGUCCCGAGCGUUGUCCGGAUUUAUUGGGCGUAAAGCGAGCGCAGGCGGUUAGAUAAGUCUGAAGUUAAAGGCUGUGGCUUAACCAUAGUAUGCUUUGGAAACUGUUUAACUUGAGUGCAGAAGGGGAGAGUGGAAUUCCAUGUGUAGCGGUGAAAUGCGUAGAUAUAUGGAGGAACACCGGUGGCGAAAGCGGCUCUCUGGUCUGUAACUGACGCUGAGGCUCGAAAGCGUGGGGAGCAAACA